GCCGAUGACGAUUCAAUCCGCUUGUUUGAGGUGCAGUGGAAUUGAGACCCUGUUUACAGGGAGAACCCCUCAGUGACACUGCAUUCAUAUGAAUUCAAUGGAUUUAGCUGAGGU
Malus domestica (apple) is the source of this 114-nucleotide small nucleolar RNA. RefSeq annotates it as small nucleolar RNA Z278. NCBI's taxonomy places the organism in Eukaryota, Viridiplantae, Streptophyta, Magnoliopsida, Rosales, Rosaceae. The record is from RefSeq and is a predicted model, not a curated record.